AUUGAACGCUGGCGGCAUGCCUUACACAUGCAAGUCGAACGGUAACAGGUUAAGCUGACGAGUGGCGAACGGGUGAGUAAUGUAUCGGAACGUGCCCAGUCGUGGGGGAUAACUGCUCGAAAGAGCAGCUAAUACCGCAUACGACCUGAGGGUGAAAGCGGGGGAUCGCAAGACCUCGCGCGAUUGGAGCGGCCGAUAUCAGAUUAGGUAGUUGGUGAGGUAAAGGCUCACCAAGCCGACGAUCUGUAGCUGGUCUGAGAGGACGACCAGCCACACUGGGACUGAGACACGGCCCAGACUCCUACGGGAGGCAGCAGUGGGGAAUUUUGGACAAUGGGCGCAAGCCUGAUCCAGCCAUGCCGCGUGCGGGAAGAAGGCCUUCGGGUUGUAAACCGCUUUUGUCAGGGAGGAAAAGGUUCUGGCUAAUACCUGGGACUCAUGACGGUACCUGAAGAAUAAGCACCGGCUAACUACGUG
RNAcentral lists this ribosomal RNA (477 nucleotides) under uncultured bacterium. Its description in RNAcentral is "partial 16S ribosomal RNA". It matches the Rfam family "Bacterial small subunit ribosomal RNA", at positions 30 to 507 of the family's 1533-position model. The record is from RNAcentral.